AAGUCGUAACAAGGUUUCCGUAGGUGAACCUGCGGAAGGAUCAUUAACGAAUUAUGGAGAGUUGAUGCUGGUGUUAAUUCACAUGUGCUCGCUCUCUUAAUCCAUAUACACCUGUGCACCUUUUGAUUUCGAAGGCUUAUUGGAGACGCAAGUCGAAGAUAGCCUUUGGAACCUCAACAUAUCCCUCUUGUAAUCAUGAAUGUUUCAUUUGUCGAAAGACAGAAUUAAAUACAACUUUUAACAACGGAUCUCUUGGCUCUCGCAUCGAUGAAGAACGCAGCGAAAUGCGAUAAGUAAUGUGAAUUGCAGAAUUCAGUGAAUCAUCGAAUCUUUGAACGCACCUUGCGCUCCCUGGUAUUCCGGGGAGCACGCCUGUUCGAGUGUCAUGAAACUCUCAAGCGAGAUGCUUUAUUGCUAUCUUCGUUUGGAUUUGGACUCUGCCGCGAUUCUUUUAGAACGCGGCUGGUCUUAAAUGCAUUAGCUGGCCCUUGUGUAGGCUUGGUUCUACUCGGCGGUGAUAAUUAUCUAACGUCGAGGACAUUCUUCGGAAUGGCCAGGUCCUCUUCGGACUGCUUCUAAUCGUCUUAGGACAAUUUAACUUCAUAUCUGACCUCGAAUCAGGUGGGACUACCCGCUGAACUUAAGCAUAUCAAUAAGCGGAGGAAAAGAAACUAACAAGGAUUCCCCUAGUAACGGCGAGUGAAGCGGGAUGAGCUCAAAUUUAAAAUCUGGUGGUCUUUGGCCAUCCGAGUUGUAAUCUAGAGAAGCGUUUUCCGCGCUGGACUGUGUACAAGUUUCCUGGAUACGGAACAUCAUAGAGGGUGAGAAUCCCGUCCUUGACACAGACUCCCUGUGCUUUGUGAUGCGCUCUCGACGAGUCGAGUUGUUUGGGAAUGCAGCUCAAAAUGGGAGGUAAAUUCCUUCUAAAGCUAAAUAUUGGCGAGAGACCGAUAGCGAACAAGUACCGUGAGGGAAAGAUGAAAAGCACUUUGGAAAGAGAGUUAAACAGUACGUGAAAUUGUUAAAAGGGAAACGAUUGAAGUCAGUCGCGUCUACUUGGACUCAGCCUUACCUCGGUUUGGUGCAUUUCCUUGUGGACGGGCCNGCGUCCAUGUUGUUCACUGGAAAAAGGUUGGGGGAAUGUGGCUCUUUCGGGAGUGUUAUAGCCCUUGAUCAUAUACAGCGAGUGAUAUGGAGUGGUACAGCAUGCUUCGGCGGUGCUUGUGCUGGCAUAAUGGCUUUAAACGACC
Molecule: ribosomal RNA, 1250 nt
Filed under: uncultured fungus
Lineage: Eukaryota; Fungi
Description: eukaryotic LSU rRNA
Rfam family: Eukaryotic large subunit ribosomal RNA (bases 608-1250)
Source: RNAcentral